Vicia faba (fava bean) is the source of this 231-nucleotide non-coding RNA. The record is from the annotation of a GenBank genome assembly. Lineage: Eukaryota; Viridiplantae; Streptophyta; Magnoliopsida; Fabales; Fabaceae.
AUGGACAUCACAUGUUCGAUAGUUAUUUUAUUUUAUGGGGGUUCGUAUACCUUCCAUACUUGUAUCAUAUUUUCUACUGUACUCCGUAUUUUUUAUUAUGAAUACUUUUUAAACCCAUUUGUGACUCAAUGCAUAAGCAUAUUUAUGAGUGGUCAACGGCUAUCAAUUGUCUUUGAAUCCAUUCAUCAACCGAAGCACCAAAAUAUCAUUGUUGUACACAUAAAUUUUUAG